UGGGGAAUUUUGGACAAUGGGCGAAAGCCUGAUCCAGCAAUGCCGCGUGUGUGAAGAAGGCCUUCGGGUUGUAAAGCACUUUUGUCCGGAAAGAAAUCCUUGGCUCUAAUACAGUCGGGGGAUGACGGUACCGGAAGAAUAAGCACCGGCUAACUACGUGCCAGCAGCCGCGGUAAUACGUAGGGUGCAAGCGUUAAUCGGAAUUACUGGGCGUAAAGCGUGCGCAGGCGGUUUGCUAAGACCGAUGUGAAAUCCCCGGGCUCAACCUGGGAACUGCAUUGGUGACUGGCAGGCUAGAGUAUGGCAGAGGGGGGUAGAAUUCCACGUGUAGCAGUGAAAUGCGUAGAGAUGUGGAGGAAUACCGAUGGCGAAGGCAGCCCCUGGGCCAAUACUGACGCUCAUGCACGAAAGCGUGGGGAGCAAACAGGAUUAGAUACCCUGGUAGUCCACGCCCUAAACGAUGUCAACUAGUUGUUGGGGAUUCAUUUCCUUAGUAACGUAGCUAACGCGUGAAGUUGACCGCCUGGGGAGUACGGUCGCAAGAUUAAAACUCAAAUGAAUUGACGGGGUCAUAGCUG
Molecule: ribosomal RNA, 578 nt
Filed under: uncultured bacterium
Lineage: Bacteria
Description: partial 16S ribosomal RNA
Rfam family: Bacterial small subunit ribosomal RNA
Source: RNAcentral